GGAAGUGUGCCUGAAAAUUAAGGACCUCCUUGAUAGGGAGAACUAUAGGGGCUAAACCCCCUCGCUUCCU
RNAcentral lists this transfer RNA (70 nucleotides) under Hyloxalus jacobuspetersi. RNAcentral's name for it is "tRNA-Ile". Lineage: Eukaryota; Metazoa; Chordata; Amphibia; Anura; Dendrobatidae. The record is from RNAcentral.